CCGGCGCACGGGUGAGUAACACGUAUGGAACCUGCCCUAUGCAGGGGGAUAAGCGGAAGAGAUUCCGUCUAAUACCGCAUAACACCUUUAGGAGACAUCUUCUUGGGGUCAAAGGAGGCGACUCCGGCAUAGGAUGGCCAUGCGUCGCAUUAGCUAGUCGGCGGGGUAACGGCCCACCGAGGCGACGAUGCGUAGGGGUUCUGAGAGGAAGGUCCCCCACACUGGUACUGAGACACGGACCAGACUCCUACGGGAGGCAGCAG
This 263-nucleotide ribosomal RNA is filed under the name uncultured bacterium. RNAcentral's name for it is "partial 16S ribosomal RNA". It matches the Rfam family "Bacterial small subunit ribosomal RNA", at positions 95 to 354 of the family's 1533-position model. The record is from RNAcentral.